CACCGGCGGACGGGUGCGUAACACGUGGGAAUAUACCUUUCGGUACGGAACAACUGCGGGAAACUGCAGCUAAUACCGUAUACGUCCGGAGAAAGAUUUAUCGCCGAAGGAUUAGCCCGCGUUCGAUUAGCUAGUUGGUGAGGUAACGGCUCACCAAGGCGACGAUCGAUAGCUGUUCUGAGAGGAAGAUCAGCCACACUGGGACUGAGACACGGCCCAGACUCCUACGGGAGGCAGCAGUUGGGAAUCUUGGACAAUGGGGGAAACCCUGAUCCAGCCAUGCCGCGUGAGUGAUGAAGGCCUUCGGGUUGUAAAGCUCUUUUACCCGGGAAGAUAAUGACUGUACCGGGAGAAUAAGCUCCGGCUAACUUCGUGCCAGCAGCCGCGGUAAUACGAAGGGGGCUAGCGUUGUUCGGAAUUACUGGGCGUAAAGCGUGCGCAGGCGGCUUCCCAAGUCAGUGGUGAAAGCCCGGAGCUCAACUCCGGAACUGCCAUUGAAACUGUGAAGCUCGAGGACGAGAGAGGUGAGUGGAAUUCCCAGUGUAGAGGUGAAAUUCGUAGAUAUUGGGAAGAACACCGGUGGCGAAGGCGGCUCACUGGCUCGUUUC
This 608-nucleotide ribosomal RNA is filed under the name uncultured bacterium. RNAcentral's name for it is "bacterial SSU rRNA". It matches the Rfam family "Bacterial small subunit ribosomal RNA", at positions 93 to 740 of the family's 1533-position model. The record is from RNAcentral.